This is a long non-coding RNA of Bombina bombina (fire-bellied toad), 311 nucleotides long. RefSeq lists it as uncharacterized. The transcript is spliced from 3 exons. The record is from RefSeq and is a predicted model, not a curated record. NCBI's taxonomy places the organism in Eukaryota, Metazoa, Chordata, Amphibia, Anura, Bombinatoridae.
UGAGGGGGGAAGGAGUGAAAGGAGUAAGAGGAGGCAUGAGAUAGAGUGAAUGAAAAAGGUAGAGAAAGAGAUGAAAUGGGGAUAUAUUGAGAGAGUGAGAAGGAACGUGAAAGAGUAAGAAACCAUUCAGAUGGUAACAUUAUUAGAGAAAGAAAUGGAGGAGUUUGAGAUAGAGAAAGUACAGGAGCACAUCAGUGAAAGGACAAAGAUUAGUAGUUUUGUUGUCAUGGGAACAUUUUAUGCCUUGCUGUGGGCGGAGUGACCGCAUCCAAUUGGCUUCCCCAGCAUUUUCAUCCAAGAUCUGUAUCGUG